This 253-nucleotide ribosomal RNA is filed under the name uncultured bacterium. Its description in RNAcentral is "partial 16S ribosomal RNA". It matches the Rfam family "Bacterial small subunit ribosomal RNA", at positions 524 to 776 of the family's 1533-position model. The record is from RNAcentral.
UACGGAGGGGGCUAGCGUUGUUCGGAAUUACUGGGCGUAAAGCGCACGUAGGUGGCUUUGUAAGUUAGAGGUGAAAGCCCGGGGCUCAACCCCGGAAUUGCCCUUAAGACUGCAUCGCUUGAGUUGUGGAGAGGUGAGUGGAAUUCCGAGUGUAGAGGUGAAAUGCGUAGAUAUGCGGAAGAACACCAGUGGCGAAGGCGACUCACUGGACACAUAUUGACACUGAGGUGCGAAAGCGUGGGGAGCAAACAGG